Molecule: ribosomal RNA, 823 nt
Filed under: uncultured bacterium
Lineage: Bacteria
Description: bacterial SSU rRNA
Rfam family: Bacterial small subunit ribosomal RNA
Source: RNAcentral
UCUGGAAACUNUCUGACUUGAGUGCAGAAGGGGAGAGUGGAAUUCCAUGUGUAGCGGUGAAAUGCGUAGAUAUAUGGAGGAACACCAGUGGCGAAAGCGGCUNUCUGGUCUGUCACUGACGCUGAGGCUCGAAAGCGUGGGUAGCGAACAGGAUUAGAUACCNUGGUAGUCCACGCCGUAAACGAUGAGUGCUAGGUGUUAGGCCCUUUCCGGGGCUUAGUGCCGGAGCUAACGCAAUAAGCACUCCGCCUGGGGAGUACGACCGCAAGGUUGAAACUCAAAGGAAUUGACGGGGGCCCGCACAAGCGGUGGAGCAUGUGGUUUAAUUCGAAGCAACGCGAAGAACCUUACCAGGUCUUGACAUCCCGAUGCUAUUCUUAGAGAUAGGAAGUUACUUCGGUACAUCGGAGACAGGUGGUGCAUGGUUGUCGUCAGCUCGUGUCGUGAGAUGUUGGGUUAAGUCCCGCAACGAGCGCAACCCUUAUUGUUAGUUGCCAUCAUUAAGUUGGGCACUCUAGCGAGACUGCCGGUAAUAAACCGGAGGAAGGUGGGGAUGACGUCAAAUCAUCAUGCCCCUUAUGACCUGGGCUACACACGUGCUACAAUGGUCGGUACAACGAGUUGCGAGCCGGUGACGGCAAGCUAAUCUCUGAAAGCCGAUCUCAGUUCGGAUUGGAGGCUGCAACUCGCCUCCAUGAAGUCGGAAUCGCUAGUAAUCGCGGAUCAGCACGCCGCGGUGAAUACGUUCCCGGGCCUUGUACACACCGCCCGUCACACCACGAGAGUUUGUAACACCCGAAGUCGGUGAGGUAACCUUUUAGGG